GCAAUUAUAGUAGAAAAUUCUGGACAUAUUGGGGCAUAGAUUUAUCCUUAUUAGCUGGAAGCUUAGGCAUGUUACUUUACCUGUAAAGGCCCAUUGUUAGCAACAGAGGUGAACUGGAUAACCUUCCAGCAUUCAUGUGAUGUGAAUCUGUUAAAAAUUUUUAGUAAAAAUUUUAUAGUAAAAAAUUUUAUAUGUAAAAAUUUUAUAGUAAAAAAUAAAAUUAAAAUCAUAUCCCUAAAUCAUAAAGCUUUUUUGCUUUUCUCUGUGGGUAUCCUUGUGCUAGUGUUCCUCUGUAGGUUCUUUUCUCUCUUUAAAAAAAAAAAAAAAAAANAAAAAAAAAAAACAAGUUAGCGGUGUCGGCUGAGAGGUCUGGAAGGGCUGGACCUGCGAGAGGAUCAACAUGCCUUUGGCUAGAGAUUUACUACAUCCCUCUUUGGAAGAGGAAAAGAAAAAACAUAAGAAGAAACGCCUAGCGCAAAGUCUGAAUGCUUACUUUACAGAUGUAAAAUGUCCAGGUUGCUACAAGUUCACCACAGUUUUCAGCCAUGCUCAGACAGUGGUUCUUUGUGUAGGCUGUUCAACAGUGUGGUGACAGCCUACAGGAGGAAAGUCCAGAUUCACAGAAGGGUGUUCAUUUAGAAGAAGGCAACACUAAUGAUCCAAACAGCUUCCUCAAUUUGUGUUAUCUCACAGAAAGCCUUAUCAUAAGUUCCAUAACUCUAAUUAAUCUACCAAGAUAAUGUAAUUAUAUUUGGUUUUGUAAGGUAUACAACAAUGAACUCCUAUUUUGGUGUCAGUUUUUCAAUAAAGUUUUGAUUAUGGG
Cebus imitator (Panamanian white-faced capuchin) is the source of this 823-nucleotide RNA transcript. It is a transcript of the gene named 40S ribosomal protein S27-like, with no coding region annotated. The record is from RefSeq and is a predicted model, not a curated record. NCBI's taxonomy places the organism in Eukaryota, Metazoa, Chordata, Mammalia, Primates, Cebidae. The transcript has a single exon.